CCCCCAGCAUGAGGCCACUGUCCCUACAGUAAUCAUAGGAUCAUCUGCCCCACAUGCAAUAAAACAGGGGUCAGCAAACUUUUUCAGCAGGGGGCCAGUCCACUGUCCCUCAGGCCCUGUGGGGGGCCGGACUAUAUAUUUUUUGGGGGGGGGGGAUGAACAAAUUCCUAUGCCCCACGGAGAUGCAUUUUAAAUAAAAGGACACAUCCUACUCAUGUAAAAACACACUGAUUCCCGGACCAUCCGUGGGCCGGACUGAGAAGGCAAUUGGGCCAGAUCCUGCCCCCAGGCCUUAGUUUGCCUACCCAUGCAAUAAAACAUAUCUCUCUUGUAUCACUAUCUACAGCCACAGCAGCCAGCAGCUGUAACUCUCCAAGGGUGUGACUUCUCCUGAGCCAGAUGGAUGCCAGAACUGUAGAGCUGGAAGGGACCCCAUGGGUCAUCUAGUCCAACCCCUUGCAAUGCAGGAAUCCUUUUGCCCAAGGUGGGCCUCGAACCCAGGACCCAGAGAUUAAGAGUCUCAUGCUCAAGCAACCCAACCACAAAAGAUAACCAAUUAUAUUACUAUUGUUUCCAGCCAUCAAACUCAUGGGCUGCAGCUCACCUUGGGCCAGCCAUUCUCUCUCUCCACCAGCCUCGCUGGGGUUUUCCUCCUCGGAGCAAGAGGGGCGUCAGUGGGACCAGUGAGGGAGGAUGCGCUGCUCUGAGGAUGCUCCGAGAAGAGCCGGCAGGGACAGGCCAGCGGCGAGGCGGACCCAAGCGCACCAGCCACGCUUCCCGGCCGACAGCCCCCCGAAGGGAGAACCCGACGCACCCAGCGCCGCCACCCCCGCCUGGCUGUUCCCGCUCAGAUCAUUCCAUGACAGCCAGCCACAGAAGGCACAUCUAUUACCAGAAGCAAUGGUGAAUCCAUCUGGAGGGGAGAAUUCAGCCAAUGUUGUUCUGAUCUCUGGACAAGGACAGAAAUAUAUUUGGUCGCCUGAGCAAGGUUCAGUUUGUGCACAGAUAUGUGUGAAUAUUAUACAUGCUGGGGCUGCCCACAACCUGUAUGCACGCAAAGACAUAUACCUGAAUGUACCUAUGCCCUGACGGUGCCCUCAGCGCCCUGUUUUUUCAGGGUACAGACUGUGCAUUGAGAGAGCAAAGCACAUGUUUGCCCUGUGGAUGGGAGCUCAGAUACGUUGAGGGGGGUUUGGGCCUGACCGAACCCUUCAAGCAUAGAUUUCAGUAUGUUUUGACCAUCCACCCAGUGCUUUUUUGUGCACUGAAAAUAAACACAUGGAAUUGGAAACCUCUGUUUAUUCCAAAUAUUAAACUGUUUUCCUUUGCAGCUGAAAAAAAUGC
This 1344-nucleotide long non-coding RNA is filed under the name Podarcis muralis (Common wall lizard). RNAcentral describes it as "lncRNA (ENSPMRG00000001754.1)". Lineage: Eukaryota; Metazoa; Chordata; Lepidosauria; Squamata; Lacertidae. The record is from RNAcentral.